UGUAAGCGUAUACCAAAGUUGUUGCAGUUAAAACGCUCGUAGUCGGAAUUUGGCAGUUCCGGAAGUGUGCACGUCGUGUGCGCACUUUGCGGGGACUGCUUUUGUGGUCUUGCGUAGGAUGAGGCACUUUCAUUAGUGAACGUCCUCACGCAACCACUCUUUACUGUGAGAAAAUCAGAGUGCUCAAAGCAGGCAUUUGCCGUGAAUGUAUUAGCAUGGAAUAAUAGAAUAGGACUCGGUUCUAUUUUGUUGGUUUGUUGGGACUGAGUAAUGAUUAAGAGGGACAGUUGGGGGCAUUUGUAUUCCGGCGCUAGAGGUGAAAUUCUUAGAUUGCCGGAAGACAAACUGCUGCGAAAGCGUCUGCCAAGGAUGUUUUCAUUGAU
RNAcentral lists this ribosomal RNA (383 nucleotides) under uncultured eukaryote. Its description in RNAcentral is "partial 18S ribosomal RNA". It matches the Rfam family "Eukaryotic small subunit ribosomal RNA", at positions 592 to 977 of the family's 1831-position model. The record is from RNAcentral.